Molecule: RNA transcript, 699 nt
Organism: Vigna unguiculata (cowpea)
Lineage: Eukaryota; Viridiplantae; Streptophyta; Magnoliopsida; Fabales; Fabaceae
Source: RefSeq, a predicted model, not a curated record
ACUAUUCUUUUUCUCUUGUUUCUUCAUUUUUCUUUUACUCCUCCUUUUCCUUGGAGAAAAUAUGAGAAAGUACAGUGACAAGUGGAAGAAAGUUUGACAGAAAAAUAGUUUUGGUAUGGGGAGAAUGUCGAAGAGGUGGCACAGUUGGUUGAUUGAACAUGUUCGAAGUUGAUUGAACAUGUUCGAAGUAUCGAGACUUUUGCAACCGUAGUUUUUGAUGGAAACGAUGAGACAAACAGUAUAAUCUCUUAUAUCGUAUUGUCAAGGAAUUUGAAAACCUUAUUAAAAAAUCAUAUCAGGCUCUUGAUCUCAAGAAAGGAGAAGCUAAAGCCAUUUUUGAAGCUGCAACUAAGGAAAAGGUAAAGUGUCUUGUGCAGAGGUUGUGGAAUGAGAAGGUCAAAGUGUCCCCAUGUCCAAUGGAGGAGCAUGAUGCUCUUAUAGAUAUAAGAACCCAGGUUGAUGAAACACACACUGAUAUGUUCAGGUUAAAGAGCACAAAUCAAAAAGGGCUAAAAGAUGUAAGAGCUCUCAAACAAGACGCUUGUCAAAACACUCGGUGCAUCAUGGUUUUCGUAGAUAUCUCUCUGUUCUGGCCGUUCCUCAUUUGUUUUGGGAUACAAGGACCUUAAUUAAUUGUAUAUACAUUUUUUGUAUUUUAUUUUAGUGGAAUAUGAAAUGAAAUUAUUUUUUUUAAUUUAA